Camellia sinensis is the source of this 668-nucleotide non-coding RNA. NCBI's taxonomy places the organism in Eukaryota, Viridiplantae, Streptophyta, Magnoliopsida, Ericales, Theaceae. The record is from RefSeq and is a predicted model, not a curated record.
UCUAUUUUUUCAGGGUGUCUACAAUCCUCACAUGGGUCAGCAUUACCUUCAAAUAUAUGGCGUACCAAGCACAGUUAACACAAAUAUUGUCCCAUAUGGACAAAUGGGCCAUCCUCUCUCUGGCAACCAUGGGUAUCCAACCAUUCAGGGCUAUGUGACACCAGGUCGUCAUGUUCUGCAAUAUGGGGGACCCCUCGUUAAUGGAGUAACUACAGACACUAUUACCAUAACUCAAACACAAUACCUUGCAGUAUCCUGAACUACAGGCAUCUGCAAUGCUUGCUUUAUGUUGAUUUAUGAUUAUUGAUGCAGAUUUUUGUGAUGCAAAUCUCCAACUUCUCUUCACUGUUGGGGAGAACGCAAAUUUCUAGCUUGAAAAUGAUAUUGGAUUUCUAUCAGGUUUUUUGCUCAUACCUUUCAGUAGAUGUUUCGUGUAAAUAGUGAAUUGUGCAUAUUUGCUGGCUGCAUACAGGUAUUUUCACAGGACAAAUCCAUUUAUGAAGCUGUGGAGAAUGCAUUCAUCACAAUAUAUCUCUGAAGUUUAUAGUUGGUGCCUUGGUAUCCAAAGGUGAUAUAACUACAAGCACGGUAUGCUUCUCUCCUCGUCUUUCAAUAAUCUUUUACAAAUCGUAAGUUAGUUGAAAUCUUUUGGUUGAGCUAUUUUUGAU